GGGGGCAUAGCUCAAGUGGUAGAGUACAUGCUUAGCAUACACAGGGUUUUGGGUUCAAUCCCCAGUACCUCUA
Molecule: transfer RNA, 73 nt
Organism: Camelus ferus (Wild Bactrian camel)
Lineage: Eukaryota; Metazoa; Chordata; Mammalia; Artiodactyla; Camelidae
Rfam family: tRNA
About the family: Transfer RNA (tRNA) molecules are approximately 80 nucleotides in length.
Source: Rfam